This is a small nuclear RNA of Tupaia belangeri (northern tree shrew), 105 nucleotides long. Lineage: Eukaryota; Metazoa; Chordata; Mammalia; Scandentia; Tupaiidae. The record is from Ensembl.
GUGCUCACUUCAGCAACACAUAUUACUAAAGUUGGAACGAUACACAGAUUAGCAUAGCCCCUGAGCAAGGAUGACAAGCAGAUCUGUUAAGCAUUCCAUCUUAAA